This 255-nucleotide ribosomal RNA is filed under the name uncultured bacterium. RNAcentral's name for it is "partial 16S ribosomal RNA". It matches the Rfam family "Bacterial small subunit ribosomal RNA", at positions 524 to 776 of the family's 1533-position model. The record is from RNAcentral.
UACGUAGGCAGCAAGCGUUGUUCGGAGUUACUGGGCGUAAAGGGUGUGUAGGCGGUUCUUUUAAGUUUGCUGUGAAAUCUCCCGGCUUAACCGGGAGGGUGCGGUGAAUACUGAGGGACUAGAGUACGGGAGAGGAAAGUGGAAUUCCUGGUGUAGCGGUGAAAUGCGUAGAUAUCAGGAGGAACACCGGUGGUGUAGACGGCUUUCUGGACCGACACUGACGCUGAGACACGAAAGCGUGGGGGAGCAAACAGG